RNAcentral lists this ribosomal RNA (411 nucleotides) under uncultured bacterium. Its description in RNAcentral is "bacterial SSU rRNA". It matches the Rfam family "Bacterial small subunit ribosomal RNA", at positions 29 to 425 of the family's 1533-position model. The record is from RNAcentral.
AACGAACACUGGCGGCGUGGUUUAGGCAUGCAAGUCGAACGUGAAAGUUUCCUUCGGGAAAUGAGUAAAGUGGCGCACGGGUGAGUAACACGUAGAUGACCUUCCCUGGAGUGGUGGAUAACCUGCCGAAAGGCGGGCUAAUACAGCAUGGGACCACAUGGUUUUGACCGAGUGGUGAAAGCGGGCCUCUGUUCACAAGCUCGCGCUCUGGGAUGGGUCUGCGUCCCAUCAGCUAGUUGGUGAGGUAAUGGCUCACCAAGGCAUCGACGGGUAGCUGGUCUGAGAGGAUGACCAGCCACACUGGAACUGAGACACGGUCCAGACUCCUACGGGAGGCAGCAGUGGGGAAUCUUGCGCAAUGGGCGAAAGCCUGACGCAGCGACGCCGCGUGGGUGAUGAAGGCCUCGGUUG